RNAcentral lists this ribosomal RNA (458 nucleotides) under uncultured bacterium. RNAcentral describes it as "partial 16S ribosomal RNA". It matches the Rfam family "Bacterial small subunit ribosomal RNA", at positions 339 to 795 of the family's 1533-position model. The record is from RNAcentral.
CUACGGGUUGCUGCAGUGAGGAAUAUUGGUCAAUGGGCGCAAGCCUGAACCAGCCAUCCCGCGUGCAGGAUGACAGCCCUAGAGGUUGUAAACUGCUUUUGUAUAGGAAGAAUAAGAGCUACGUGUAGCUUGAUGACUGUACUAUACGAAUAAGCACCGGCUAACUCCGUGCCAGCAGCCGCGGUAAUACGGAGGGUGCAAGCGUUAUCCGGAUUUAUUAGGUUUAAAGGGUGCGUAGGCGGGAUCUUAAGUCAGUGGUAAAAGGCAUUAGCUUAACUAAUGUAAGCCAUUGAAACUGGGAUUCUUGAGUUCGGUUGAGGUAGGCGGAAUGUGUUGUGUAGCGGUGAAAUGCAUAGAUAUAACACAGAACACCGAUUGCGAAGGCAGCUUACUAAGCCGUUACUGACGCUGAUGCACGAAAGCGUGGGUAUCAAACAGGAUUAGAUACCCUUGUAGUC